CGGAGAAGAAUGUGUCCUACCAGACUACGAGCUUCCUGCGCAUGCGCACUGCUGGGCUGUAACCGGAACCUGCGCACUGCGGUCUCUGACUGCGGCAUGCGCAGUGCAGGUUGUACCUGGAGUUAGACGGAGAAGCGAGAAAUAAUCGAGUCAGGUUGAGUCCUGGAGCGGCUGGGUUACUGGAAGUGGAAGAUUGACAGAUGGGAAACUCAAUCCAAACAUCACAUGAAGAUCUGACAGAGUCCCUCAAUUCAUGAGGACCUGAACAUCAUCGCCCUUUGAAUGUGGAAAGGAAAAGGAACCAGUCCGGUACAUCUCCUCUGCACCUUCUCAAGGACCUUCACAUACUUCCUAA
Molecule: long non-coding RNA, 355 nt
Organism: Carcharodon carcharias (great white shark)
Lineage: Eukaryota; Metazoa; Chordata; Chondrichthyes; Lamniformes; Lamnidae
Exons: 3
Source: RefSeq, a predicted model, not a curated record